RNAcentral lists this ribosomal RNA (434 nucleotides) under uncultured bacterium. RNAcentral describes it as "bacterial SSU rRNA". It matches the Rfam family "Bacterial small subunit ribosomal RNA", at positions 354 to 796 of the family's 1533-position model. The record is from RNAcentral.
GUGGGGAAUAUUGCGCAAUGGGCGAAAGCCUGACGCAGCGACGCCGCGUGGGGGAUGACGGCCUUCGGGUUGUAAACCCCUUUCAGCAGGGACGAAGCCCUUCGGGGUGACGGUACCCGCAGAAGAAGCGCCGGCUAACUACGUGCCAGCAGCCGCGGUAACACGUAGGGCGCAAGCGUUGUCCGGAAUUAUUGGGCGUAAAGAGCUCGUAGGCGGCCUGUUACGUCCGCUGUGAAAACCCGGGGCUCAACCCCGGGCCUGCAGUGGAUACGGGCAGGCUAGAGGCAGGUAGGGGAGAAUGGAAUUCCCGGUGUAGCGGUGAAAUGCGCAGAUAUCGGGAGGAACACCGGUGGCGAAGGCGGUUCUCUGGGCCUGACCUGACGCUGAGGAGCGAAAGCGUGGGGAGCAAACAGGAUUAGAAACCCCUGUAGUCC